GUUUUAACCCGAAUUUUCCAGAUAUUAUGAAAACCAAUCGGAAAAUUAAAAAAUGACCUGUUUAAAGUACCAUACAGACAAUGUUUCCUUCCAGAAAAAGUGUCACACUUACAUAUCGAAGCUAAAUUUCUGGUAGACAUUUUUGUCAAUACAUAAAAAAAAUAACAAUAAACAUUAUUGUAAAACCAAUACAUUCUUCGCUACAUUCAGAAUCUAGAAUUCCAAGAUAUACUAUCUUACAACAUUUAAGAAACAUAAUAAGAUAUACUGUAUUACAAUCGUACACAAUGUUUUGUAACUAAUUAAUGUGAAUUACUAUAAUAUGAGAAAAAGAAAAAAGAAUUUUAUGUUCCUGGAAACUGGAAUACAACCCGUAAAAGUUUUUACUCAGUAUAUUUACCUAAAUUAAUGUCUUUUUUUUAAAAAUUAUUAUUAUUAUAAUUGAAUGCGUAAUGGUAUUGUGUGGUGUGUACCAAACGAUUAAUUAAACGCAA
Non-coding RNA from Cinara cedri, 494 nucleotides. Lineage: Eukaryota; Metazoa; Arthropoda; Insecta; Hemiptera; Aphididae. The record is from the annotation of a GenBank genome assembly.